RNAcentral lists this ribosomal RNA (451 nucleotides) under uncultured bacterium. RNAcentral's name for it is "partial 16S ribosomal RNA". It matches the Rfam family "Bacterial small subunit ribosomal RNA", at positions 29 to 523 of the family's 1533-position model. The record is from RNAcentral.
AACGAACGCUGGCGGCAGGCUUAACACAUGCAAGUCGAACGGAUGUAGCAAUACAUCAGUGGCAGACGGGCGAGUAACACGUGGGAAACUUCCUCGUUGUACGGAACAACUCAGGGAAACUUGAGCUAAUACCGUAUACGUCCGAGAGGAGAAUGAUUGAUCGCAAUAAGACGGGCCCGCGUCGGAUUAGCUAGUUGGUGGGGUAACGGCCUAACAAGGCGACGAACCGUAGCUGAGCUGAGAGGAUGUUCAGCCACACUGGGACUGAGACACGGCCCAGACUCCUACGGGAGGCAGCAGUGGGGAAGCGUGGACAAUGGGCGCAAGCCUGAUUCAGCCAUGCCGCGUGAGUGAAGAAGGCCUUAGGGUUGUAAAGAUCUUUUGCCAGGGACGAUAAUGACGGUACCUGGAGAAUAAGCCCCGGCAAACUUCGUGCCAGCCGCCGCUGUAA